Small nucleolar RNA from Vulpes vulpes (red fox), 154 nucleotides. Lineage: Eukaryota; Metazoa; Chordata; Mammalia; Carnivora; Canidae. The record is from Ensembl.
UCUGUACAUCACUUGAGCUUAGAGUUGAGGCCUCUGACUGGCCAACGGACUCACAAGUGUAGGUAAUGAGCUACACAAGGGGCACGUCUUCUGCUAACACCACAAGGGUCUCUGGCCCAAGGAGGGAAGUUUGAUAGUGAUUCUUACUACAAGU